UCCCUGGUAGCUCAGCUGGUAAAGAAUCUGCCUGCAAUGCAGAAGACCUGGGUUCGAUCCCUGGGUUGGGAA
This 72-nucleotide transfer RNA is filed under the name Capra hircus (goat). It matches the Rfam family "tRNA". Rfam says of the family: Transfer RNA (tRNA) molecules are approximately 80 nucleotides in length. Their secondary structure includes four short double-helical elements and three loops (D, anti-codon, and T loops). Further hydrogen bonds mediate the characteristic L-shaped molecular structure. tRNAs have two regions of fundamental functional importance: the anti-codon, which is responsible for specific mRNA codon recognition, and the 3' end, to which the tRNAs corresponding amino acid is attached (by aminoacyl-tRNA synthetases). tRNAs cope with the degeneracy of the genetic code in two manners: having more than one tRNA (with a specific anti-codon) for a particular amino acid; and 'wobble' base-pairing, i.e. permitting non-standard base-pairing at the 3rd anti-codon position. Lineage: Eukaryota; Metazoa; Chordata; Mammalia; Artiodactyla; Bovidae. RNAcentral also lists the same sequence under 1 other name. The record is from Rfam by way of RNAcentral.